Molecule: ribosomal RNA, 200 nt
Filed under: uncultured eukaryote
Lineage: Eukaryota
Description: partial 18S ribosomal RNA
Rfam family: Eukaryotic small subunit ribosomal RNA
Source: RNAcentral
GCUCCAAUAACGUAUAUUAAAGUUGUUGCGGUUAAAAAGCUCGUAGUUGGAUUUCUGUCGAGAUUGAUCGGUCCUCCUCUGGGAGCGUAUCUGAUUCGGUUGGCAUCCUCGUAUUUUGUUUUCUGUCCUUAAUUGGAUGGAAAAUGAGUACGACUUUUACUUUGAGGAAAUUCGAGUGUUUACGGCAGGCAAUCGCCUGA